CCUACGGGAGGCAGCAGUGAGGAAUAUUGGUCAAUGGACGCAAGUCUGAACCAGCCAUGCCGCGUGCAGGAAGACGGCUCUAUGAGUUGUAAACUGCUUUUGUACGAGGGUAAACGCAGAUACGCGUAUCUGUCUGAAAGUAUCGUACGAAUAAGGAUCGGCUAACUCCAUGCCAGCAGCCGCGGUAAUACGGAGGAUUCAAGCGUUAUCCGGAUUUAUUGGGUUGAAAGGGUGCGUAGGCGGUCGGAUAAGUUAGAGGUGAAAGCCCGAGGCUCAACUUCGGAAUUGCCUCGGAUACUGUUCGGCUAGAGAGUAGUUGCGGUAGGUGGAAUGUAUGGUGUAGCGGUGAAAUGCUUAGAGAUUAGACAGAACACCGAUUGCGAAGGCAGCUUACCAAGCUACUUCUGACGUUGAGGCACGAAAGCGUGGGGAGCAAACAGGAUUAGAUACCCGAGUAGUC
This 460-nucleotide ribosomal RNA is filed under the name uncultured bacterium. RNAcentral's name for it is "partial 16S ribosomal RNA". It matches the Rfam family "Bacterial small subunit ribosomal RNA", at positions 338 to 795 of the family's 1533-position model. The record is from RNAcentral.